Molecule: ribosomal RNA, 440 nt
Filed under: uncultured bacterium
Lineage: Bacteria
Description: partial 16S ribosomal RNA
Rfam family: Bacterial small subunit ribosomal RNA
Source: RNAcentral
CCUACGGGGGGCAGCAGUGGGGAAUAUUGCACAAUGGGGGAAACCCUGAUGCAGCAACGCCGCGUGAGUGAAGAAGUAUUUCGGUAUGUAAAGCUCUAUCAGCAGGGAAGAGAAUGACGGUACCUGACUAAGAAGCCCCGGCUAACUACGUGCCAGCAGCCGCGGUAAUACGUAGGGGGCGAGCGUUAUCCGGAUUUACUGGGUGUAAAGGGAGCGUAGACGGUUCUGCAAGUCUGAAGUGAAAGCCCGUGGCUUAACCGCGGAACGGCUUUGGAAACUGUGGAACUGGAGUGCUGGAGAGGAAAGCGGAAUUCCUAGUGUAGCGGUGAAAUCCGUAGAUAUCUGGAGGAACAUCAGUGGCGAAGGCGACUAUCUGGCACAUAACUGACGCUGAGGAGCGAAAGCGUGGGUAGCAAACAGGAUUAGAUACCCUAGUAGUC